RNAcentral lists this ribosomal RNA (60 nucleotides) under Blautia sp. OF03-15BH. RNAcentral describes it as "partial 23S ribosomal RNA". The record is from RNAcentral. Lineage: Bacteria; Bacillati; Bacillota; Clostridia; Lachnospirales; Lachnospiraceae.
GGUGGAAGCACAGUAAUGUGUGGAGCUGACUGAUACUAAUAGGUCGAAGGCUUAACCAAG